GAUGAACGCUGGCGGCAUGCCUAAUACAUGCAAGUCGAGCGAACAGACGAGGAGCUUGCUCCUUUGACGUUAGCGGCGGACGGGUGAGUAACACGUGGAUAACCUACCUAUAAGACUGGGAUAACUUCGGGAAACCGGAGCUAAUACCGGAUAACAUGUUGAACCGCAUGGUUCAACAGUGAAAGACGGUCUUGCUGUCACUUAUAGAUGGAUCCGCGCCGCAUUAGCUAGUUGGUAAGGUAACGGCUUACCAAGGCAACGAUGCGUAGCCGACCUGAGAGGGUGAUCGGCCACACUAGAACUGAGACACGGUCCAGACUCCUACGGGAGGCAGCAGUAGGGAAUCUUCCGCAAUGGGCGAAAGCCUGACGGAGCAACGCCGCGUGAGUGAAGAAGGUCUUCGGAUCGUAAAACUCUGUUAUUAGGGAAGAACAAAUGUGUAAGUAACUAUGCACGUCUUGACGGUACCUAAUCAGAAAGCCACGGCUAACUACGUG
Molecule: ribosomal RNA, 497 nt
Filed under: uncultured bacterium
Lineage: Bacteria
Description: partial 16S ribosomal RNA
Rfam family: Bacterial small subunit ribosomal RNA
Source: RNAcentral